ACUGAUUCCAUGUCUUCGGUAUUAAGGGUUAUUAGGGCAUGCAUUGGAAAAGGAAAUGGCAACCCACUCCAGUGUUCUUGCCUGGAGAAUCCCAGGGACGGGGGAGCCUGGUGGGCUGCUGUCUAUGGGGUCACACAGAGUCGGACACGACUGAAGCGACCUGCAGCAGCAGCAGCAGCAGCAGGGCAUUGUUUUAAAUUUUCAAGAAAAAAAUGGGAACUCUUCUGAGGAUGCCUGGGAUCUGUGUUGGAGUUGGAUGCACGCCGCCUUCCACACAGCGCCACCAGCUGGGAGGACCAGACAGGAAACUGCAGCGGAGCCAGAACAAGGGUCCCUUUUGCAUGCAAGGAGGGAGUUGACCCACCCAGCAGAGCACAGCGUCAUCACCCGGUCAGCAGCCAGAGAGGACCGCGAUCGGAAGGCCGUCUGAGUACUUGUUGCCGCCGCCCCCACCCAUCCACCCAGGUGCCCACCCUCACCCAACCACGCGCCCACUCUCACCCACUGCCUGGUCAGAGGCCGGCAGCCGGCGCGCAGUCCACCCUGAGCGUCCGCGGUGCUGCGCACGAACAGAGGGGCCGCCGUCACGGCCAACUCGGACGCUGUAGCCGGAAGCUGGCACCUCUGGUCGAAAUACCCCCGGCACCCCAAACUCGGGGAAGAGGGUCGGGGAACGCACGGAAAUAAAGAAACCGGCCCAAGCGGUAGGGCCCCAGAAAGUCUCCAAGAAUGAGCUCAAAACGCAGAGCUUGCUGACCACAGGCAGCACAGAACUGCGUACUUACUCCGUUUUAUUAUUCUAACUCUGCCCGUAAUAACUUGGAUGGUUUUUGCUUUUCGCUUUAUCUUCCCUGCAAAAUAAAGGCCUUUCUCACAGUACUCUUAGGAUCCAUUAAAUCAUUAAUGGGGUAAAGAUGCUUGACAUCAUCAGAACUGUAUGUUAUACUCUUUCUCAAAAGCAGCUUUCUCAAAUUCAAGUUAUCUCCAAGGGAAGGAAAGGCAAGCAUGAACUUACUAGCCAAC
Molecule: long non-coding RNA, 1023 nt
Organism: Bos taurus (domestic cattle)
Lineage: Eukaryota; Metazoa; Chordata; Mammalia; Artiodactyla; Bovidae
Source: Ensembl